This 696-nucleotide ribosomal RNA is filed under the name uncultured Alphaproteobacteria bacterium. RNAcentral's name for it is "bacterial SSU rRNA". It matches the Rfam family "Bacterial small subunit ribosomal RNA", at positions 32 to 776 of the family's 1533-position model. The record is from RNAcentral. Lineage: Bacteria; Pseudomonadati; Pseudomonadota; Alphaproteobacteria.
AACGCUGGCGGCAGGCCUAACACAUGCAAGUCGAACGGCUCUUCGGAGCAGUGGCGGACGGGUGAGUAACGCGUGGGAACGUGCCCUUUGGUUCGGAACAACACAGGGAAACUUGUGCUAAUACCGGAUGAGCCCUUCGGGGGAAAGAUUUAUCGCCAUUGGAGCGGCCCGCGUUGGAUUAGGUAGUUGGUGGGGUAACGGCCCACCAAGCCGACGAUCCAUAGCUGGUCUGAGAGGAUGAUCAGCCACACUGGGACUGAGACACGGCCCAGACUCCUACGGGAGGCAGCAGUGGGGAAUCUUGCGCAAUGGGCGAAAGCCUGACGCAGCCAUGCCGCGUGUAUGAUGAAGGUCUUAGGAUUGUAAAAUACUUUCACCGGGGAAGAUAAUGACGGUACCCGGAGAGGAAGCCCCGGCUAACUUCGUGCCAGCAGCCGCGGUAAUACGAAGGGGGCUAGCGUUGCUCGGAAUUACUGGGCGUAAAGGGCGCGUAGGCGGACAGUUUAGUCAGAGGUGAAAGCCCAGGGCUCAACCUUGGAAUUGCCUUUGAUACUGGCUGUCUUGAGUUCGGGAGAGGUGAGUGGAAUGCCGAGUGUAGAGGUGAAAUUCGUAGAUAUUCGGCGGAACACCAGUGGCGAAGGCGACUCACUGGCCCGAUACUGACGCUGAGGCGCGAAAGCGUGGGGAGCAAACAGG